GCUGGGUGCGGUGGCACAUGCCUGUAGUCCCAGCUACUCGGGAGGCUGAGGCUGGAAGAUCACUUGAGCCCAGGAGUUCUAGACUGUAGUGCGCUAUGCCGAUGGAGUGUCCACACUAAAUUCGGCAUCAAUUUGGUGACCUCCUGGGAGCGGGGAACCACCAGAUUGCCUAAGGAGGGGUAAUGAACGGGAGGCCCAGUUAAGAAAUGAAGCAGGUCAAAACUCCCAUGCUGAUCAGUAGUGGGACAGCAUCUGUGAAUAGCCACUGCACUCCUGCCUGGGCAACAUAGCGAGACCCCAUCUCU
This 305-nucleotide signal recognition particle RNA is filed under the name Saimiri boliviensis boliviensis (Bolivian squirrel monkey). RNAcentral describes it as "Metazoan signal recognition particle RNA (ENSSBOG00000007389.1)". It matches the Rfam family "Metazoan signal recognition particle RNA". Rfam says of the family: The signal recognition particle (SRP) is a universally conserved ribonucleoprotein. Lineage: Eukaryota; Metazoa; Chordata; Mammalia; Primates; Cebidae. The record is from RNAcentral.